RNAcentral lists this unclassified non-coding RNA (332 nucleotides) under soil metagenome. Its description in RNAcentral is "partial contains 5.8S ribosomal RNA, internal transcribed spacer 2, and large subunit ribosomal RNA". The stretch from base 1 to 120 matches the Rfam family "5.8S ribosomal RNA", at positions 35 to 154 of the family's 154-position model. The record is from RNAcentral.
GAUGAAGAACGUAGCAAAAUGCGAUAAGUAAUGUGAAUUGCAGAAUUCAGUGAAUCAUCGAAUCUUUGAACGCACAUUGCGCCCGCCAGUAUUCUGGCGGGCAUGCCUGUUCGAGCGUCAUUUCAACCCUCAAGCACAGCUUGGUGUUGGGACUCGCGUUAAUUCGCGUUCCCCAAAUUGAUUGGCGGUCACGUCGAGCUUCCAUAGCGUGGUAGUAAAACCCUCGUUACUGGUAAUCGUCGCGGCCACGCCGUUAAACCCCAACUUCUGAAUGUUGACCUCGGAUCAGGUAGGAAUACCCGCUGAACUUAAGCAUAUCAAUAAGCGGAGGA